GAACCUUCGGGGAACGAUAACGGCGUCGAGCGGCGGACGGGUGAGUAAUGCCUAGGAAAUUGCCCUGAUGUGGGGGAUAACCAUUGGAAACGAUGGCUAAUACCGCAUGAUGCCUACGGGCCAAAGAGGGGGACCUUCGGGCCUCUCGCGUCAGGAUAUGCCUAGGUGGGAUUAGCUAGUUGGUGAGGUAAGGGCUCACCAAGGCGACGAUCCCUAGCUGGUCUGAGAGGAUGAUCAGCCACACUGGAACUGAGACACGGUCCAGACUCCUACGGGAGGCAGCAGUGGGGAAUAUUGCACAAUGGGCGCAAGCCUGAUGCAGCCAUGCCGCGUGUGUGAAGAAGGCCUUCGGGUUGUAAAGCACUUUCAGUCGUGAGGAAGGUAGUGUAGUUAAUAGCUGCAUUAUUUGACGUUAGCGACAGAAGAAGCACCGGCUAACUCCGUGCCAGCAGCCGCGGUAAUACGGAGGGUGCGAGCGUUAAUCGGAAUUACUGGGCGUAAAGCGCAUGCAGGUGGUUUGUUAAGUCAGAUGUGAAAGCCCGGGGCUCAACCUCGGAAUUGCAUUUGAAACUGGCAGACUAGAGUACUGUAGAGGGGGGUAGAAUUUCAGGUGUAGCGGUGAAAUGCGUAGAGAUCUGAAGGAAUACCGGUGGCGAAGGCGGCCCCCUGGACAGAUACUGACACUCAGAUGCGAAAGCGUGGGGAGCAAACAGGAUUAGAUACCCUGGUAGUCCACGCCGUAAACGAUGUCUACUUGGAGGUUGUGGCCUUGAGCCGUGGCUUUCGGAGCUAACGCGUUAAGUAGACCGCCUGGGGAGUACGGUCGCAAGAUUAAAACUCAAAUGAAUUGACGGGGGCCCGCACAAGCGGUGGAGCAUGUGGUUUAAUUCGAUGCAACGCGAAGAACCUUACCUACUCUUGACAUCCAGAGAACUUUCCAGAGAUGGAUUGGUGCCUUCGGGAACUCUGAGACAGGUGCUGCAUGGCUGUCGUCAGCUCGUGUUGUGAAAUGUUGGGUUAAGUCCCGCAACGAGCGCAACCCUUAUCCUUGUUUGCCAGCGAGUAAUGUCGGGAACUCCAGGGAGACUGCCGGUGAUAAACCGGAGGAAGGUGGGGACGACGUCAAGUCAUCAUGGCCCUUACGAGUAGGGCUACACACGUGCUACAAUGGCGCAUACAGAGGGCAGCCAACUUGCGAAAGUGAGCGAAUCCCAAAAAGUGCGUCGUAGUCCGGAUUGGAGUCUGCAACUCGACUCCAUGAAGUCGGAAUCGCUAGUAAUCGUGGAUCAGAAUGCCACGGUGAAUACGUUCCCGGGCCUUGUACACACCGCCCGUCACACCAUGGGAGUGGGCUGCAAAAGAAGUAGGUAGUUUAACCUUCGGGGGG
RNAcentral lists this ribosomal RNA (1387 nucleotides) under Vibrio parahaemolyticus. RNAcentral's name for it is "bacterial SSU rRNA". It matches the Rfam family "Bacterial small subunit ribosomal RNA". Lineage: Bacteria; Pseudomonadati; Pseudomonadota; Gammaproteobacteria; Vibrionales; Vibrionaceae. The record is from RNAcentral.